RNAcentral lists this long non-coding RNA (1209 nucleotides) under Canis lupus familiaris (dog). RNAcentral's name for it is "lncRNA (ENSCAFG00030000590.1)". Lineage: Eukaryota; Metazoa; Chordata; Mammalia; Carnivora; Canidae. The record is from RNAcentral.
CAGACAAAGCAGACUAAGAAGGAAGGAGGCUGGAGAAGUUGUGGGUAAGGGCACAACGGGGUUGCCCUGCAGCAGAAGCUCUUACCUGUUGGAGGGAGGAGCUGGGGACAAAGCACCAUAGACUGGGUGGCUUCGACAACAGGAAUUUGCUUCUCACAGUUCUGAAGUCUCCAAGUCUAAGAUCAAGGUGUCCAUGGGAUUGGUUUGCUCUCUCUUUGGUUUGUAGAUGGCCAUCCUCUCCCUCCGUCCUCACACAGCAUUUCCUCCGUGUGUAUCUGUGUCCUGAUCUCUUCUUACAAGGACACCUUUUAUGUUGGGUUAGGGUCCAUGGAAUGACCCCAUUUCACCUUAAUUAUCUCUUUGAAGGCCCUAGUUCCAAAUACAGUCACAUUCUGAGCUCCUGGAAGUUGGGACUUCAGCCUAUGAAUUUUUGGAGGACACAAACCAGUCAACAGCCAGGAGUGUCCGAGGAGGCCCUAGAGGCAAAGGUGGGAUCCUGGGGGCCAGAACGCCCAGCACUAUAGCAAGCACUUGGUGGCUUUUCAAUAAAAUGUUUCUUGAAGGAGUGAAUGAAUGGGCAUGUUGACAGAGAAAGAAAAGGAAUCUCCUUCUUGCUACAUUUUUUAUGGACAGAGGACAGUCCUUCCGGUAAAGGUUGGUUCUCUUUGGAUCAGACAGGUGAGGAGUAGGUCCAAACUCCAUCGUGGGCUCCAACCAUCUGUACUCAAACCCCAAGAAGCAAGGCCCAGAUCCCAGAGCUCUCCAAAGACCGAAGGGAGGUCACACAGCCUGGGAGGAAAUAACGUAUUGGGGCAGAGCCAUAGAGAAGAGAAUGCAAAGUCAAGAUUAACACAUCUAAUGAGACGUAAGACGUCAGCUAGUUUCCACACCCAUGUAUUGUCACUAUUCACUCAUACGUUACCAUCUUGUGGUGGCAUCUUCCAGUGCAUUUCUAUAUUUGUGAUGUUUUAUAGAGUGGGGCUCCCAAAGAGAAAGCCCUGGGGGUCCCGGGGGGGUGGGGGUCUUAGAUUGGUCCUGCCUGUUAGCUUUCCAGCUGCGGAGGGAGUUCUAGAUGGAGACGCGGCCAAGGCCCUGCCCUCCACCCCAGAGGUCACCUCCAGAGAAGGAACUGCCAUCCCAGCCAGUGGCCACGAAGGCUUGAGGGGAGAUGCUUCUGAAGUGAAGGGCUCCGCAGCCGGCUCUAGAUGA